GGUCUGUUAGCGUAGUGGUUAACGUGCCUGUUUAUAAAGUAGGAGGUUAUAAGUUCGAUCCUUACACGGGCUU
Non-coding RNA from Cercophora newfieldiana, 73 nucleotides. The record is from the annotation of a GenBank genome assembly. Lineage: Eukaryota; Fungi; Ascomycota; Sordariomycetes; Sordariales; Lasiosphaeriaceae.